CCAGUUAGAGAAUGACUGAAUAAGUUAUGGUAUAUUAAUGUUAUUGAAUAUUAUUGUUCUGUAGGAAAUAAUCAGCAGAAUGACUUCAGAGAGGCCUGGAGAGACUUACAUAAACUGAUGCUAAAUGAAGUGAGCAGAACCAGGAGAUCAUUGUACACAUCAACAAGAAGAUUAUAUGAUGAUCAGUUCUGAUAGAUGAGGCUCUCUUCAACAAUGAGAUGAUUGAGACCAGUUCCAAUAAUCUUCUGAUGAAGAAAGCCAUCUACAGCCAGAGAGAGGACUAUGGGAACUGAGACAACAGAAGGGGGAUUCACAUCAGACCAAGGGAAAAAGACUUGCAGAUUCAGCUGCCCGUGCUGCUGCCCGUUGCCCCUGAUCAUGGCACCUUUAAUUCCCCAACUACUGACUCCUACACUCCUUUAUGUAGCUCCCAGACUCCAAGACAUGAAACUACAACUACUUGGUCAACCUAAAAUCACCUGAGACCUGAUUUUGACAUUCAGCACCAGAUGCUCCUGACAAUGGCCCUGAAGCCCCUGGACUUCCACAGUGCUGGAGUUCUAUGGCUGCCUGACGCCAGUCUGUUCUGUGAUGACUGGGUUCCCAAGAGAGAUGGUGGGAGUUGGUAGAAGCAGAGUCUCUGAUUCUUGCUCAUUGCUUUAAGUAGCAAUACCCUCAAAAUACAAAGAGAAUUGACUCUAAUUUAUAAGAAAUCAAACCAUUCUCCAAUUGAUAAAUGGUCAAAGGAUAUGAACAGACAAUUCUCAGACAAAUCGAAAUUAUUUCUAGCCAUAUGAAAAUAUGCUCCAAGUCAUUAUUAAUCAGAGAAAUACAAAUUAAGACAACUCUGAGAUACCACUACAUACCCGUCAGACUGGCUAGAAUGACAGAGAAAGAUAAUGCUGAAUGUUGGAGGGGAUGUGGGAAAACUGGGACACUGAUACAUUGUUGGUGGAAUUGUGAACACAUCCAGCCAUUCUGGAGAGCAAUUUGGAACUAUGCUCAAAAAGUUAUCAAACUGUGCAUACCCUUUGAUCCAGCAGUGUUUCUACUGGGCUUAUACCCCAAAGAAAUCUUAAAGAAGGGAAAGGGACCUGUAUGUGCAAAAAUGUUUGUGGCAGCCCUGUUUGUAGUGGCUAGAAGCUGGAAAAUGAAUGGAUGCCCAUCAAUUGGAGAAUGGUUGAAUAAAUUGUGGUAUAUAAAUGUUAUGGAAUAUUAUUGUUUGGUAAGAAAUGACCAACAGGAUGAUUUCAGAAAGGCCUGGAGAGACUUGCAUGAACUGAUGCUGAGUGAAAUGAGCAGGACCAAGAGAUCAUUAUAUACUUCAACAAAAUGAUGAUCAAUCCUGAUGGACCUGGCCCUCUUCAACAAUGAGAUGAAACAAAUCAGUUCCAAUAGAGCAUCAAUGAACUGAACCAGCUACACCCAGGGAAAGAACUCUGAAAAAUUACUAUGAACCACUACAUAGAAUUCCCAAUCCCUCUGUUUUUGUCCACCUGCAUUUUUUAUUUCCUUCACAGGUUAAUUGUACACUAUUUCAAAGUCCGAUUCUUUUUGUACAGAAAAUAACUGUUUGGACAUGUAUACGUAUAUUGUACUUAACUUAUACUUUAACAUAUUUAACAUGUAUUGGUCAACCUGCCAUCUGGGGAAGGGGGUGGAGGGAAAGAGGGGAAAAGUUGGAACAGAAGGUUUUGAAAUUGUCAAUGCUGAAAAAUUACCCAAGCAUAUAACUUGUAAAUAAAAAGCUAUAAUAAAAAAAGUAGCAAUAUGCUGUCACCUGCUUGCUUAUGCACUUAGUCACUAGAAUAGUUUGAGAUUUCUUAGCUAAAAUGGCUCCUGAAAGCUUCCACUGAUGUGCCUGGGUUGGUUCUAAAUGGUAGAGGGCAGGUUACAGUUGGUACUGAAGAGGGAUCAGCAUGAAGGCCCAGAUCACAAAGAUGCCCUAGUAGAAGAAAUAUAUCAGGAUUGGGGUGAGAAACCUUCAAAGGUAUGAAAAAGAGGAGGGACUGAAUGGGACCAGGGGAAGACUUCUCCGAGGCUAUAAGACCCCAGGCCUAAGUUUCAGGAAGUCAUUGGAUCCCUAUUCCCAGAGGUCUGUUAUAAGGGUCCUUUAAAUGGGCCGGCACAGCGCAAUAGGAAGUUUGAGUGGCCUGGAAGUAAUUUUCUGUGGCUAGGGACUGCCCCAUGGGCAGGACUCUUGUUAUAGUGAUGUAGCUUUGUAAUGGGAGACAGCUCCUGCUCUUAUUGGCUGUGGGUGACCUCAAAGACCCUUUUUAAGCCCACCACAGCAGGAGGUCGAUCACUUUAUCCUGGAGUAGCUGAGCCAAGCUGAUGGAUAGCCAAGAAAGGUAAGGGGCUUGAGAGUGAACACGUGGAUCUCUCGCAGACCACAUGGUCACUCGGGGUUAACAAGUUGGAGCAUUAUGUGAGCAAGUAUAAUAAAGGCUUUAAGUUUGCACGUGGCUGUUCUUGAGCAUGUUAUCGGUUAUUAAACUACGAUUCAAGAAAUCGUAGCCAGGGUCAGUGGCCAGAAGUUUUCUGACGCCCGGGAAUUAGGAGAGACUGGCAAUGUAAAAUAUCGAGUUAAGUAAUAAAUGAUAAUUUACAGUCUGUAGGACAGAAAAGGUCAGACCUAGGCCUAAGCUUCAUGAAGUUAUAUCACCCACAGGAAGCAGACAGAAUUGCUGACCAUUGGUCAAUGGUUACUUCCUUUUCAGCCCAUCCAAUGAAUCCAAGUCUUUUACUACAUAAUUCACUCCCUGUUUCCAGCCUGGGGUCACAUGCCAUUCUGGACUGCUCAGCUGGAAGGUUUGGACCUCUCCUUGCAAGGACCAAAUAAAUGUUUUCCGUUUGUAUCUGAAGAUACCUUUGAAUAGUCAGUUUAGGUAAGGGAAUGUAACACUCCAUCCCAUACAAUCCUUAGCCAAUGGGGCAAUAAAGGAGAGACCAUGUGCUUCAAGACAGGAAAUUAAAGGCUCAUUCUCGUUUCUGUUAGGGUAGAUCUUCCCAAGGCCUUCCAAGAAUGGUAAAUAAACUAAUUUCAUAUACCCCCUGAGUCCUUUUUAAUCUUUGUAGUGGAUUUCUAACAAUUCUUCUGUUUUUCUUAAAUGCAAUUUUCAUAACUCGGAAACUCCAUUCAAUUCUCAUAUAUUCCCAUUUGAUUAUUAUUUUUUUUUCCCCAUUUGAUUAUGAAUUCUUUAAAGGGAGGGACC
Molecule: long non-coding RNA, 3215 nt
Organism: Antechinus flavipes (yellow-footed antechinus)
Lineage: Eukaryota; Metazoa; Chordata; Mammalia; Dasyuromorphia; Dasyuridae
Exons: 3
Source: RefSeq, a predicted model, not a curated record